CUUGCUUGAACACGUUUGUGUCGCAUUUAAUUGUUAUGUUUGUCCUAGAUUAUGUUCCUAUGAGGCUUUUGGGCUUUUUUUCCCGGGUUUACUGACCGGAACUCAGUUUUAUUUUCCUAUUACAAACAGCUUUUAGCAACAAUAUAUAAAAAUAAAAUAAAAACAUGUGAAAUGAAGACGUCAGCAGCUUGUUGUUUCGGGGGAAUUAUUCUGUGCAUCGGGCUUUCAUUGAGAGCAACAGAUUCCGUCUCUCACAGUUGAAGUGUACAGACCUCUACAUGCUUUAUUCCAAUGAUAGCAAGCUUUCCACUCCACUCCAGCUGACGCUUGGCAUUGAGGUGAUCUUGUGCUUGUGUGCAGCUGCUCGGCCAUGGAGACCCAUUUCAAGACACUCCCGACGAACAGUUAUUGUGUUGACGUCGCUUCCAUUGAAUUAAGGGGCGUCCACAUAGUGUACG
Molecule: long non-coding RNA, 458 nt
Organism: Oncorhynchus tshawytscha (Chinook salmon)
Lineage: Eukaryota; Metazoa; Chordata; Actinopteri; Salmoniformes; Salmonidae
Source: Ensembl